This 77-nucleotide transfer RNA is filed under the name Pseudoalteromonas sp. NBT06-2. RNAcentral describes it as "tRNA-Arg". It matches the Rfam family "tRNA". From Rfam's summary of the family: Transfer RNA (tRNA) molecules are approximately 80 nucleotides in length. RNAcentral also lists the same sequence under 1 other name. The record is from RNAcentral. Lineage: Bacteria; Pseudomonadati; Pseudomonadota; Gammaproteobacteria; Alteromonadales; Pseudoalteromonadaceae.
GCACCCUUAGCUCAGCUGGAUAGAGCGUCGCCCUCCGGAGGCGAAGGCCGCAGGUUCGAAUCCUGCAGGGUGCGCCA